Molecule: small nucleolar RNA, 106 nt
Filed under: Cephalotus follicularis
Lineage: Eukaryota; Viridiplantae; Streptophyta; Magnoliopsida; Oxalidales; Cephalotaceae
Description: Plant small nucleolar RNA R71
Rfam family: Plant small nucleolar RNA R71
About the family: R71 is a member of the C/D box family of snoRNAs containing the C (UGAUGA) and D (CUGA) box motifs. Multiple nearly identical copies of this snoRNA have been identified in Arabidopsis, and it is thought to function as a 2'-O-ribose methylation guide for 18S ribosomal RNA.
Source: Rfam by way of RNAcentral
AUGGCAUGAUGGGGACAUUUUAUGAUGAGAUCCUUUAAUCUCUCCCAUGACUCAUGGAACUGCUCAUCAUCUUGUUGCCAAAAUCUAGUGAGAGCUCGUCUUAUCU